RNAcentral lists this ribosomal RNA (253 nucleotides) under uncultured bacterium. RNAcentral's name for it is "partial 16S ribosomal RNA". It matches the Rfam family "Bacterial small subunit ribosomal RNA", at positions 524 to 776 of the family's 1533-position model. The record is from RNAcentral.
UACGUAGGGGGCGAGCGUUGUCCGGAAUUAUUGGGCGUAAAGGGCGCGUAGGCGGUCUCUUAAGUCUGAUGUGAAAGCCCCCGGCUUAACCGGGGAGGGUCAUUGGAAACUGGGAGACUUGAGUGCAGAAGAGAAGAGUGGAAUUCCACGUGUAGCGGUGAAAUGCGUAGAGAUGUGGAGGAACACCAGUGGCGAAGGCGGCUUCCUGGCCUGUAACAGACGCUGAGGCACGAAAGCGUGGGGAGCGAACAGG